GCAAGGGGGUCAUCCCGACUUACCAACCCGAUGCAAACUGCGAAUACCGGAGAAUGUUAUCACGGGAGACACACGGCGGGUGCUAACGUCCGUCGUGAAGAGGGAAACAACCCAGACCGCCAGCUAAGGUCCCAAAGUCAUGGUUAAGUGGGAAACGAUGUGGGAAGGCCCAGACAGCCAGGAUGUUGGCUUAGAAGCAGCCAUCAUUUAAAGAAAGCGUAAUAGCUCACUGGUCGAGUCGGCCUGCGCGGAAGAUGUAACGGGGCUAAACCAUGCACCGAAGCUGCGGCAGCGACACUAUGUGUUGUUGGGUAGGGGAGCGUUCUGUAAGCCUGUGAAGGUGUGCUGUGAGGCAUGCUGGAGGUAUCAGAAGUGCGAAUGCUGACAUAAGUAACGAUAAAGCGGGUGAAAAGCCCGCUCGCCGGAAGACCAAGGGUUCCUGUCCAACGUUAAUCGGGGCAGGGUGAGUCGACCCCUAAGGCGAGGCCGAAAGGCGUAGUCGAUGGGAAACAGGUUAAUAUUCCUGUACUUGGUGUUACUGCGAAGGGGGGACGGAGAAGGCUAUGUUGGCCGGGCGACGGUUGUCCCGGUUUAAGCGUGUAGGCUGGUUUUCCAGGCAAAUCCGGAAAAUCAAGGCUGAGGCGUGAUGACGAGGCACUACGGUGCUGAAGCAACAAAUGCCCUGCUUCCAGGAAAAGCCUCUAAGCAUCAGGUAACAUUAAAUCGUACCCCAAACCGACACAGGUGGUCAGGUAGAGAAUACCAAGGCGCUUGAGAGAACUCGGGUGAAGGAACUAGGCAAAAUGGUGCCGUAACUUCGGGAGAAGGCACGCUGAUAUGUAGGUGAAGUCCCUCGCGGAUGGAGCUGAAAUCAGUCGAAGAUACCAGCUGGCUGCAACUGUUUAUUAAAAACACAGCACUGUGCAAACACGAAAGUGGACGUAUACGGUGUGACGCCUGCCCGGUGCCGGAAGGUUAAUUGAUGGGGUUAGCGGUAACGCGAAGCUCUUGAUCGAAGCCCCGGUAAACGGCGGCCGUAACUAUAACGGUCCUAAGGUAGCGAAAUUCCUUGUCGGGUAAGUUCCGACCUGCACGAAUGGCGUAAUGAUGGCCAGGCUGUCUCCACCCGAGACUCAGUGAAAUUGAACUCGCUGUGAAGAUGCAGUGUACCCGCGGCAAGACGGAAAGACCCCGUGAACCUUUACUAUAGCUUGACACUGAACAUUGAGCCUUGAUGUGUAGGAUAGGUGGGAGGCUUUGAAGUGUGGACGCCAGUCUGCAUGGAGCCGACCUUGAAAUACCACCCUUUAAUGUUU
This 1316-nucleotide ribosomal RNA is filed under the name Escherichia coli. RNAcentral's name for it is "bacterial LSU rRNA". It matches the Rfam family "Bacterial large subunit ribosomal RNA", at positions 918 to 2215 of the family's 2925-position model. The record is from RNAcentral. Lineage: Bacteria; Pseudomonadati; Pseudomonadota; Gammaproteobacteria; Enterobacterales; Enterobacteriaceae. RNAcentral also lists the same sequence under 1 other name.